Molecule: long non-coding RNA, 2634 nt
Filed under: Homo sapiens (human)
Lineage: Eukaryota; Metazoa; Chordata; Mammalia; Primates; Hominidae
Description: PREDICTED lncRNA (TCONS_00257687)
Source: RNAcentral
AUUCUGGAGGGGACAGAGCUAGCAGAUCAGACCUAACUGGAAAUCUGCUGUGCCAGUAUAUAUUUCAGUGAUGUGAGCCAAUAUAUCCCCUUGAUUGCUCAAAGUAGUUUGGUCGAUAUAUUUUGUUGCUUUAAAUUGAACACAUUCUUAUGUACAGCCUCUGUCUCCUCAUCUCCAACCAAGCAAAAUAGCUUGUUCUCUUUAUGCAGGGACACAUGACAUUUCCCACGUGGCUUUGUGCAUAUCUCCACCUCAAUUUAAAAUGCCUUCCAAUCCCUGCUCAAAGUCAAACAGCUUAAUAAUGGUAGACAUAGAAUUUGACUUAUUCUAAUAAUAGGUCUUUUAAACAAUGCCUUCUUCUCUUCAUUCUUUCCUUCUUAGAGUGGGUAUUCUUUCUGGUGCAUCAUGUAAAGGAAGAUUGAGCCUCAUAUUUCAUAUCUGCCCCUGGCCUAAUGGUUGUUUACAGAAUGAGCUCAAUGAAUAUUGUUAAAUAACACUAACAAAGUUGACCUUAGAAUUGGAGUGCCUGGGUUAGAACCCUGCUGGUACCACCUGCUUACUGCAUGCUUCUGAUGUGAGUUCAGGAGAAGACACUGGCAAGGACAGCAAAGAACAGGAGAACACUCUAGCUUCCCUGAUAGCAUUCAAGGUGCUGUCCAAACUGACUGUGAUGGCACCCUCCAGACAGACAGCGAUGCCACAUGUUCAAGAUGGCAGAAUCACUAUCAGCUUCAAUUCCUGAAUGACUGCAGAGCAAAAUUUCUUACCUGCAACAUACACUCUAUUUUCAGCCUCCCUGGACUGUUACAUAAUGAUACAUAAAAAUAUUUCUUGUGUUGAGGCAUCCCAAAUUUGAUUUAUUUGUCAUCACAGUCUAUCCUAUGAAUAUAUUUCUGAUCCAAAUAAUGCUAGAUUCAUGAGAGUUUAUAGUCCAGAGAUUUUUUUUUUUUUUUUGAGACAGAAUCUGUCUCCCAGGCUGGGGUGCAGUGGCAUAAUCUUAGCUCACUGCAACCUCUGCCUCCCGGGCUCAAGUGAUCCUCCCUCCUUAGCCUCCAUGAGUAGCUGGGACCACAGGUGUGCACCACCACACCCCGCUAAUUAUUUUGUAUUUUUUGCAGAGGGGGGUUUCACCACAUUGCCCAAGCUGGUCUCAAACUCCUAGACUUAAGGGAUCUGCCUGCCUUGGCCUCCCAAAAUGCUGAAAUUACACUUGUUAGCCAUAGUAAUAGUUCCUAGCCAUAGUCCGGAGAUAUUUUAAAAACUUUAGUGUGAGUUAUUUCUCUUUGCUAUAAUUCUCUCAUGCAUUUUGAAAACCUUUUCUGCCAUACAGUGGUUUUUGGGAAGUCCUUUUGGACAGACAUAUCACAGGAUGGAGAAACUAAAAAGAGAGAAUGCAUUAAAGAAAAAAUAGUACUUCGUAUUUCAGAAAUUACAAAAGGGUGUCAUGCCCCACAGCAUGGUGGGCAGUCAUUUGUAACCCACAGAACAUUGAGUUUCUAAAAUUUGAGUGUUUUUAACUUACGAAGGCCAACUUUACUGAUGAAGUGAUUACCCCAAAUAUGUGAAAUCCAUAUUUCAAGUACAAUAGUAGGAAAUUGGAAAUGGGCUCUUGAGUUUCUGCUUUCAAGUGACCCUCAGAAAUUCCUCCAUUCACUGCAGAGGUUCUGUUUCUCCUUGCUUUGUUCUGACUUUACGGCAGAACUAAGCUAAUGAGUUAGUUACUAUGGGUUAUCACUUGGAUUUGAAGAACCAUCAUUUCUAGGCAUUGCUGCUCAGAGUGGGUCUGCCCUCAGGGGAAGCUGUCUAACCAGAGCCUAACCCACUAGGGUUUUAUCAGAACCUAACUGACCUGAGGAAAAGAAAUACUCAACUCCAGCAAGCUCCAGCCUUCCAAAUGGAGGAGGAGAAAACCCAACUCCAGCCCACUUCAGCUAUCUUGUCCCACAUAAAGGGGAAGUGGAAGAAACCUGAGAAGCAGGCAUGAAGUUCACAGUCCAGAGGUAUACAAGCCACGCUGAACAUCUGAAAAUCAAUUCAUGUGAUCCAUCACAUUAGCAGACUCAAGAAAAAAAACCACAUUAUCAUAUCAGUAGAUGUAGAAAAAAAAAAUUAACAAAAUCCAGCACCCAUUCACAAUGAAAAUGCCCAGUAAAUUAGAAAUAGAAGGUAACUUCCUCAAAUUGAUAAGGAAUAUCUCUAAAAACCUACAACUAAAAUCAUACUUAAUGGUAGAAAACUAGAAGCCUUCCCAGUAAGAGUAAGAACAAGUCAAAGAUGUAUGCUCUCACCAAUGCUUUUCAACAUCAUAUUGGAAGUCCUAGCUAGUGCAAUAAGCAAAAAAAAAAAAAAAGUUAUAUUAAUAAGAACAAAAACUGUGUUUGUUUGCAGAUGACAUGAUUUUCUAUGCAAAAAAUUCAAAAUAAUCAACAACAAAAAAAUCCUGAAACUAAUAAAUGAUUAUAGCAAGAUUUCAGGAUAUGAGAUUUAUAUACAAAGGUCAAUUACUUUCAUAUAUACAAGCAAUGAACAAGAGGGAUUUGAAAUUAAAAACGAAACUAUUUACAUUAGUACCCCCAAAAUGAAAUCCUUAUGUAUAAACUUAACAAAAUAUGUACAAGAUACAUAUGAGAAAAA